UACGGAGGGUGCAAGCGUUAAUCGGAAUUACUGGGCGUAAAGGGCGCGUAGGUGGUAACUUAAGUUGGGUGUGAAAUCCCCGGGCUCAACCUGGGAAUUGCAUCCAAAACUGGGUUGCUAGAGUAUGGUAGAGGGUAGCGGAAUUUCUGGUGUAGCGGUGAAAUGCGUAGAUAUCAGAAGGAACAUCAAUGGCGAAGGCAGCUACCUGGGCCAAUACUGACGCUGAGGCGCGAAAGCAUGGGGAGCAAACAGG
This 253-nucleotide ribosomal RNA is filed under the name uncultured bacterium. Its description in RNAcentral is "partial 16S ribosomal RNA". It matches the Rfam family "Bacterial small subunit ribosomal RNA", at positions 524 to 776 of the family's 1533-position model. The record is from RNAcentral.